AUAGGAAAUAUUCCUAUAGGAAAAAUUCCUAUAGGAAUUUUGUCCCAACUUCUUAUAGGAAUUUUUCCUAUAGGAAUUCCUAUAGGA
This is a non-coding RNA of Paramuricea clavata, 87 nucleotides long. Lineage: Eukaryota; Metazoa; Cnidaria; Anthozoa; Malacalcyonacea; Plexauridae. The record is from the annotation of a GenBank genome assembly.